RNAcentral lists this unclassified non-coding RNA (331 nucleotides) under soil metagenome. Its description in RNAcentral is "partial contains 5.8S ribosomal RNA, internal transcribed spacer 2, and large subunit ribosomal RNA". The stretch from base 1 to 120 matches the Rfam family "5.8S ribosomal RNA", at positions 35 to 154 of the family's 154-position model. The record is from RNAcentral.
GAUGAAGAACGUAGCGAAAUGCGAUAAGUAAUGUGAAUUGCAGAAUUCAGUGAAUCAUCGAAUCUUUGAACGCACAUUGCGCCCCCUGGUAUUCCGGGGGGCAUGCCUGUUCGAGCGUCAUUUCACCACUCAAGCCUCGCUUGGUAUUGGGCAACGCGGUCCGCCGCGUGCCUCAAAUCGACCGGCUGGGUCUUCUGUCCCCUAAGCGUUGUGGAAACUAUUCGCUAAAGGGUGUUCGGGAGGCUACGCCGUAAAACAACCCCAUUUCUAAGGUUGACAUCGGAUCAGGUAGGGAUACCCGCUGAACUUAAGCAUAUCAAUAAGCGGAGGA